UGGAACGUAGCUCUGUUGGUGGAGCGGUAGAUUUUCACUCUAUUGGUUACAGGUUCGAAUCCUGUCGUUCCAA
Molecule: transfer RNA, 73 nt
Filed under: Caudoviricetes sp.
Lineage: Duplodnaviria; Heunggongvirae; Uroviricota; Caudoviricetes
Description: tRNA-Glu
Rfam family: tRNA
About the family: Transfer RNA (tRNA) molecules are approximately 80 nucleotides in length.
Source: RNAcentral